UACGUAGGGUGCGAGCGUUAAUCGGAAUUACUGGGCGUAAAGCGUGCGCAGGCGGAUUGUUAAGCAAGAUGUGAAGUCCCCGGGCUUAACCUGGGAAUGGCAUUUUGAACUGGCAGUCUAGAGUGUGUCAGAGGGGGGUGGAAUUCCACGUGUAGCAGUGAAAUGCGUAGAGAUGAGGAGGAACACCAGUGGCGAAGGCAGGCCCCUGGGAUAUCACUGACACUCAUGUACGAAAGCGUGGGUAGCAAACAGG
This 253-nucleotide ribosomal RNA is filed under the name uncultured bacterium. RNAcentral describes it as "partial 16S ribosomal RNA". It matches the Rfam family "Bacterial small subunit ribosomal RNA", at positions 524 to 776 of the family's 1533-position model. The record is from RNAcentral.